CCUACGGGAGGCAGCAGUGAGGAAUAUUGGUCAAUGGCCGAGAGGCUGAACCAGCCAAGUCGCGUGAGGGAAGAAUGUCCUAUGGAUUGUAAACCUCUUUUGUCAGGGAGCAAAGUAACCUAUGUGUGGGUGUUGGAGAGUACCUGAAGAAACAGCAUCGGCUAAUUCUGGGCCAGCAGCAGCGGUAAUACGGAGGAGGCGAGCGUUAUCAGGAUGUAUUGGGGUUAAAGGGUGGGUGGCGGGAUUCUCAAGUCUGCGGGAAAAUCGUUGAGUUAAACUCCAUCCAGCCGUUGAAACUGAUGAUCUUGAGUGUGCGAGAGGUAGGCGGAAUGCGUGGUGUAGCGGUGAAAUGCGUAGAGAUCACGAGGAACACCGAUUGCGAAGGCGGCAUACCGGCGCCCGACUGACGCUGAAGCGCGAAAGCGUGGGUAGCGAACAGGAUUAGAUACCCUGGUAGUC
Molecule: ribosomal RNA, 459 nt
Filed under: uncultured bacterium
Lineage: Bacteria
Description: partial 16S ribosomal RNA
Rfam family: Bacterial small subunit ribosomal RNA
Source: RNAcentral